Molecule: ribosomal RNA, 247 nt
Filed under: uncultured crenarchaeote
Lineage: Archaea; Thermoproteati; Thermoproteota
Description: partial 16S ribosomal RNA
Rfam family: Archaeal small subunit ribosomal RNA
Source: RNAcentral
AGCUCUUCGAGUGGUGUGGAUGUUUAUUGGGCCUAAAGCAUCCGUAGCUGGCUAAGUUAGUCCCUUGUUAAAUCCACCGAAUUAAUCGUUGGAUUGCGGGGGAUACUGCUUGGCUAGGGGACGAGAGAGGCAGACGGUAUUUUCGGGGUAGGGGUGAAAUCCUAUAAUCCCGGGAAGACCACCAGUGGCGAAGGCUGUCUGCUAGAACGCGCCCGACGGUGAGGGAUGAAAGCUGGGGGAGCGAACC